GAGAUGAUACGGAAAAUACACUGUACGAAAUACGAAGUGAAUGUUAAUGAAGGCAAACAAACAAAAUGCCACUGUCAAAAGCCAAAACAUUAAGAUAAUUUUCAACCUCAACACUGAAACCACAGAACAUGCUUUCAACCAUCAGGUUACUCUGUUACCAACUUGUAGUCAUAAUGUUCGCACCAGGUGGCUGCUUUCCUCCUCUAAAUAAUCUCUUGGAUAGAAAAUGCUCCCAAGACUCCGGUGCAUUCUUUUCCAAGUAGGGACAAAAAAAAAUGAAACCACAGAACAUGCUUUCAACCAUCAGGUUACUCUGUUACCAACUUGUAGUCAUAAUGUUCGCACCAGGUGGCUGCUUUCCUCCUCUAAAUAAUCUCUUGGAUAGAAAAUGCUCCCAAGACUCCGGUGCAUUCUUUUCCAAGUAGGGACAAAAAAAAAUGUUGUUACAAAACUUAUACAAUCUUUUUCAGCCAACAUGCAAAAAGAACAGCUGACUUCACAAAAAAAAAACAUAGUAGACAUUAGAUACAUCAGCGGGGGGCAGAGAGAGAGAGAGAGAGAGAGAGAGAGAGAGAGAGAGAGAGAGAGAGAGAGAGAGAGAGAGAGAUUGAGAAGAGGUUUCUAUCAUCAGUAUAAAUUAUAUGAAACUAUUUGUUGAAAAUUGCUUGCACUGAACUGAGAGGAUCACAUCGUACAGCAGCAUAAGUUCGAAGUGUUAGGCUCUUC
This 726-nucleotide long non-coding RNA is filed under the name Oryza sativa (Asian cultivated rice). RNAcentral's name for it is "long non-coding RNA (OSAT_LNC001324)". The record is from RNAcentral. Lineage: Eukaryota; Viridiplantae; Streptophyta; Magnoliopsida; Poales; Poaceae.